AGUCAACACUGCUGAUCUACUGGAGGGUCACACACCUAUAUGAACCUUUGUUAGACCUGUGUAUUCGAACUUGUCAUUCAAGCAUUUGAACCACAAGGCCUAAUCUAAUUAUCAUCUGUGUAUCCCACCGGUGUGUGGGUGUUUUUCAAGUAUCCUGAACGCUUAUUUUGCUAUUUCAUUGACACACUAUCAGUAUCUAUCAAACAUUCGAGAUAUACCCCUGAUGAAGUCUUUGAGCAAGACGAAACGCGUUGGAUUUUCUAUUUAUAACAUCAAUCUACAAACUUGUUAUAAGGAGAAGGAGGAAUCUGUAAAAGUUAUUCUACUUAUCCUCUGUAUAAUUUGGUGUCAUUUAUCAAAGAUGGAUACUUAACUCUGUGUACC
Molecule: long non-coding RNA, 384 nt
Organism: Pseudophryne corroboree (corroboree frog)
Lineage: Eukaryota; Metazoa; Chordata; Amphibia; Anura; Myobatrachidae
Exons: 4
Source: RefSeq, a predicted model, not a curated record